Molecule: ribosomal RNA, 570 nt
Filed under: Thalassiosira antarctica
Lineage: Eukaryota; Bacillariophyta; Thalassiosirophyceae; Thalassiosirales; Thalassiosiraceae
Description: partial Bacterial large subunit ribosomal RNA
Rfam family: Bacterial large subunit ribosomal RNA
Source: RNAcentral
GUAAGAGCAUUUGGUGGAUGCCUUGGCACAUACAGGCGAUGAAGGACGUGGCACGCUGCGAUAAGCGUUGGGGAGAUGUGAGCAAUCUUUGAUCCAGCGAUUUCCGAAUGGGGGAACCCAUCCUCACCAUUUACUUUUGUUUUGAAGUCUUUCGGGAUGACAAAGUGAGAGUAAAUGGGGAAGGAUAUUACCGAGUUGAAUAAAAUAGACUUGGUGAAGCGAACCCGGCGAACUGAAACAUCUCAGUAACCGGAGGAAAAGACAUCAACCGAGAUUCCGUUAGUAGUGGCGAGCGAACGCGGACCAGGCCAGUGGCAUGAUUAAGUAAAGUGGAACCGUCUGGAAAGUCGGGCCGUAGUGGGUGAUAGCCCCGUACACGUAAUCCUUAGGCAUGUCCUAGAGUAAGGCGGGACACGUGAAAUCCUGUCUGAACGUGGGGGGACCACCCUCCAAGCCUAAGUACUCGUGCAUGACCGAUAGUGAACAAGUACCGUGAGGGAAAGGUGAAAAGUACUCCGAAUAGGAGGGUGAAAUAGUACCUGAAACCAUACGCUUACAAGCGGUCGGAGG